CAAAGAAUAGUUUAGUCUAGAAUUCUAGCUUUGGGAGUUAGGGGUAGGAGUGGAAGUCUCUUUUCUUUGA
This 70-nucleotide transfer RNA is filed under the name Assurger anzac (razorback scabbardfish). RNAcentral describes it as "tRNA-Pro". It matches the Rfam family "tRNA". From Rfam's summary of the family: Transfer RNA (tRNA) molecules are approximately 80 nucleotides in length. Their secondary structure includes four short double-helical elements and three loops (D, anti-codon, and T loops). The record is from RNAcentral. Lineage: Eukaryota; Metazoa; Chordata; Actinopteri; Scombriformes; Trichiuridae.